GACGAACGCUGGCGGCGUGCUUAACACAUGCAAGUCGAACGGAAAGGCCCUGCUCUUGUGGGGUGCUCGAGUGGCGAACGGGUGAGUAACACGUGAGUAACCUGCCCUUGACUUUGGGAUAACUUCAGGAAACUGGGGCUAAUACCGGAUAGGAGCUCCUGCUGCAUGGUGGGGGUUGGAAAGUUUCGGCGGUUGGGGAUGGACUCGCGGCUUAUCAGCUUGUUGGUGGGGUAGUGGCUUACCAAGGCUUUGACGGGUAGCCGGCCUGAGAGGGUGACCGGCCACAUUGGGACUGAGAUACGGCCCAGACUCCUACGGGAGGCAGCAGUGGGGAAUAUUGCACAAUGGGCGGAAGCCUGAUGCAGCAACGCCGCGUGCGGGAUGACGGCCUUCGGGUUGUAAACCGCUUUCGCCUGUGACGAAGCGUGAGUGACGGUAAUGGGUAAAGAAGCACCGGCUAACUACGU
RNAcentral lists this ribosomal RNA (467 nucleotides) under uncultured bacterium. Its description in RNAcentral is "partial 16S ribosomal RNA". It matches the Rfam family "Bacterial small subunit ribosomal RNA", at positions 28 to 506 of the family's 1533-position model. The record is from RNAcentral.